RNAcentral lists this ribosomal RNA (253 nucleotides) under uncultured bacterium. RNAcentral's name for it is "partial 16S ribosomal RNA". It matches the Rfam family "Bacterial small subunit ribosomal RNA", at positions 524 to 776 of the family's 1533-position model. The record is from RNAcentral.
GACGGAGGAUGCAAGCGUUAUCCGGAAUGAUUGGGCGUAAAGCGUCCGCAGGUGGCCGUUCAAGUCUGCUGCCAAAGACCGGGGCUUAACUUCGGAAAGGCAGUGGAAACUGAACAGCUAGAGUAUGGUAGGGGCAGAGGGAAUUCCUGGUGUAGCGGUGAAAUGCGUAGAGAUCAGGAAGAACAUCGGUGGCGAAGGCGCUCUGCUGGACCAUAACUGACACUCAGGGACGAAAGCUAGGGGAGCGAAUGGG